UCUCUCCUGGAAACGGGUGGUAAUGCCGGAUGCUCCAGUUGAUCGCAUGGUCUUCUGGGAAAGCUUUCGCGGUAUGGGAUGGGGUCGCGUCCUAUCAGCUUGACGGCGGGGUAACGGCCCACCGUGGCUUCGACGGGUAGCCGGCCUGAGAGGGCGACCGGCCACAUUGGGACUGAGAUACGGCCCAGACUCCUACGGGAGGCAGCAGUGGGGAAUAUUGCACAAUGGGCGCAAGCCUGAUGCAGCGACGCCGCGUGAGGGAUGGAGGCCUUCGGGUUGUAAACCUCUUUUAUCGGGGAGCAAGCGAGAGUGAGUUUACCCGUUGAAUAAGCACCGGCUAACUACGUGCCAGCAGCCGCGGUAAUACGUAGGGUGCAAGCGUUAUCCGGAAUUAUUGGGCGUAAAGGGCUCGUAGGCGGUUCGUCGCGUCCGGUGUGAAAGUCCAUCGCUUAACGGUGGAUCCGCGCCGGGUACGGGCGGGCUUGAGUGCGGUAGGGGAGACUGGAAUUCCCGGUGUAACGGUGGAAUGUGUAGAUAUCGGGAAGAACACCAA
RNAcentral lists this ribosomal RNA (553 nucleotides) under Bifidobacterium longum subsp. suillum. RNAcentral's name for it is "bacterial SSU rRNA". It matches the Rfam family "Bacterial small subunit ribosomal RNA", at positions 144 to 712 of the family's 1533-position model. The record is from RNAcentral. Lineage: Bacteria; Bacillati; Actinomycetota; Actinomycetes; Bifidobacteriales; Bifidobacteriaceae.